RNAcentral lists this transfer RNA (73 nucleotides) under Phycisphaerales bacterium. RNAcentral's name for it is "tRNA-His". It matches the Rfam family "tRNA". From Rfam's summary of the family: Transfer RNA (tRNA) molecules are approximately 80 nucleotides in length. Their secondary structure includes four short double-helical elements and three loops (D, anti-codon, and T loops). The record is from RNAcentral. Lineage: Bacteria; Pseudomonadati; Planctomycetota; Phycisphaerae; Phycisphaerales.
GCGAUCGUAGCUCAGUUGGUAGAGCACCGGGUUGUGAUCCUGGAUGUCGCGGGUUCAAGUCCCGUCGGUCGCC